Long non-coding RNA from Rhipicephalus sanguineus (brown dog tick), 421 nucleotides. RefSeq lists it as uncharacterized. The transcript is spliced from 3 exons. The record is from RefSeq and is a predicted model, not a curated record. NCBI's taxonomy places the organism in Eukaryota, Metazoa, Arthropoda, Arachnida, Ixodida, Ixodidae.
UUCAAUGUUUGGUGUCUUGGAAAGAGCGCAAUAAGAUUGUCUCCGUUAACGGACACACCACGGAAGAUGUCUUGGCUGCCGUGAGGGCGACAGAUUUCGGAGAUGUCGCGUCAACCUGCAGAAUAGAGGUUUACAAUGCACAAUUUGAUGCAUAUGUAGACCCACCGCAUAGUCAUGUUUUUUGUGAUGGAAGCAGACUUAGGAUAAUCACUGAUGAGGCCAUUCCUCGCCCUUGCAGCACAAAUGAAACUCUUGUAAUCGCUCCAGAGUGUUAUUCAUCAAGCAGUCAUGAACCUUGCAUUGGAAGCGAUUACAGAGUGCCACCUCUACCUUUAGAUUUAAAAGUGGCCAUUGCUAAUACAGAAAUUGGAAAAGUUUCAAGUCGGACAAAAUCAGGAAUACUCUCCUGGAUAAGCCUCCA